This 1346-nucleotide ribosomal RNA is filed under the name uncultured bacterium. RNAcentral's name for it is "partial 16S ribosomal RNA". It matches the Rfam family "Bacterial small subunit ribosomal RNA", at positions 28 to 1381 of the family's 1533-position model. The record is from RNAcentral.
GACGAACGCUGGCGGCGUGCUUAACACAUGCAAGUCGAACGGAAAGGCCCUGCUUUUGUGGGGUGCUCGAGUGGCGAACGGGUGAGUAACACGUGAGUAACCUGCCCUUGACUUUGGGAUAACUUCAGGAAACUGGGGCUAAUACCGGAUAGGAGCUCCUGCUGCAUGGUGGGGGUUGGAAAGUUUCGGCGGUUGGGGAUGGACUCGCGGCUUAUCAGCUUGUUGGUGGGGUAGUGGCUUACCAAGGCUUUGACGGGUAGCCGGCCUGAGAGGGUGACCGGCCACAUUGGGACUGAGAUACGGCCCAGACUCCUACGGGAGGCAGCAGUGGGGAAUAUUGCACAAUGGGCGGAAGCCUGAUGCAGCAACGCCGCGUGCGGGAUGACGGCCUUCGGGUUGUAAACCGCUUUCGCCUGUGACGAAGCGUGAGUGACGGUAAUGGGUAAAGAAGCACCGGCUAACUACGUGCCAGCAGCCGCGGUGAUACGUAGGGUGCGAGCGUUGUCCGGAUUUAUUGGGCGUAAAGGGCUCGUAGGUGGUUGAUCGCGUCGGAAGUGUAAUCUUGGGGCUUAACCCUGAGCGUGCUUUCGAUGCGGGUUGACUUGAGGAAGGUAGGGGAGAAUGGAAUUCCUGGUGGAGCGGUGGAAUGCGCAGAUAUCAGGAGGAACACCAGUGGCGAAGGCGGUUCUCUGGGCCUUUCCUGACGCUGAGGAGCGAAAGCGUGGGGAGCGAACAGGCCUAGAUACCCUGGUAGUCCACGCUGUAAACGGUGGGUACUAGGUGUGGGGUCCAUUCCACGGGUUCCGUGCCGUAGCUAACGCUUUAAGUACCCCGCCUGGGGAGUACGGCCGCAAGGCUAAAACUCAAAGGAAUUGACGGGGCCCCGCACAAGCGGCGGAGCAUGCGGAUUAAUUCGAUGCAACGCGUAGAACCUUACCUGGGUUUGACAUGGAUCGGGAGUGCUCAGAGAUGGGUGUGCCUCUUUUGGGGUCGGUUCGCAGGUGGUGCAUGGCUGUCGUCAGCUCGUGUCGUGAGAUGUUGGGUUAAGUCCCGCAACGAGCGCAACCCUUGUUCACUGUUGCCAGCACGUUAUGGUGGGGACUCAGUGGAGACCGCCGGGGUCAACUCGGAGGAAGGUGGGGAUGACGUCAAGUCAUCAUGCCCCUUAUGUCCAGGGCUUCACGCAUGCUACAAUGGCUGGUACAGAGAGUGGCGAGCCUGUGAGGGUGAGCGAAUCUCGGAAAGCCGGUCUCAGUUCGGAUUGGGGUCUGCAACUCGACCUCAUGAAGUCGGAGUCGCUAGUAAUCGCAGAUCAGCAACGCUGCGGUGAAUACGUUCCCGGGGCU